Poecilia latipinna (sailfin molly) is the source of this 2112-nucleotide long non-coding RNA. RefSeq lists it as uncharacterized. NCBI's taxonomy places the organism in Eukaryota, Metazoa, Chordata, Actinopteri, Cyprinodontiformes, Poeciliidae. The transcript has 2 exons. The record is from RefSeq and is a predicted model, not a curated record.
AGCUAGCGUUAGCUCGGCAGCUAAGCUAAAGCUGCUACUCGGAUACCGUGGGGAUGGCGCUCUGUGGGCUUGAAGGGAAAUUCUCGACACGUAGCCACAGAUGCAAGCAUGAUUUAUUUUAAAAGUCGGUUCUCCCGUUUUGUGUGGGAACGCCCUUACCCUGUGAAUUGCUGUUUUCGCUAACUAGCUGUAAGCUAGGUGGGAGCUAAAUGUCAGUGUGCUGCUGGCGUGACAUCAUGGCUUGUUUUCAUUCAUACAUGAAGAGUCGCUGUGCGUAUUUAGCUGUCAGUCGCUGAAAUAUGGCCCGUCGUUCCCUUUUUCGGUACUUGUCUGCACUGCCUGUACCUGAAGUGUACUUCCUCAUUGUCGGUAGAAUGACAUUUCAGGUAUUCACUAGCAACGAGACAAUACUGUUACUCCCUCAGUGACACCCUCUGUAUACAUACUUAGUCAUUCAAGGAAAUGCUAUUUUACAAGCUUAUGCAAAUUUCUAAUGGAGCCUUUCGCCGUUGUAUGAGUAAUGGAACAUUUUCAAACAAGAAAUCAUCUAAUUGUCUUCUGCUUUCCUGAAUUUUCUCAUUGAUGUCGAAGUUGGCCUUUGAUCUUGGUGCAGGGUAAAGGGCUAGUUCACCGCGUUUUUGACAUCUGGCAUUAUUAAAAGAAUAUUAAGCUAGACGUUUUAGCAAAAUGUGUGUUAUAAGACCUGUUUGUCAAACCCACAACUUUAAAGUGUUGAAAUCAUGCGUGUUAAAAAUGAGAACUGCUACAGCAGCUUUAAAAGCUGAAAUUCUGUGCUCCUCAGUUUAUACUGAAAUUUGCUGAAGGUUGUGACCAAAAGUAAACAGCAAUGUUUAUUAAAAAAAAUAAAUAAAAGAUUGCUAUACAAUGUUUAAGGAGUUAAACACAUGUCAAAAUUACAGGCAAAAUAAAACGCAUUCAGAUUUGCUGUAAUAAAAACACUUGUGGUUAUUUACGAUAUUUGAUCAACUUUCAGCCUUUUUAAUGGUCACAAUAAAUAUUAGUUAAUUGGCUUGUAAAUAGUCCUUUAUUAUUCAGCCUAUAGGUGACAUCUGUUGGUAGCAAAUUAUAUUUACACAAUUUUAAAAUGGUGUAAAAACAGCAAAAAAAAACAACAAAAUCCUGCUUUAUGAAAAAGAUGCAUUCUUGUUCAAAUGAAACACUGUUGCAUCCUAAAAUAGAGUAUUUCUAAUUUUUGUUGGAAUCUCUGGACCUCGCACAAGCUGAUUUAUUUGUGCUGAUGUAUCAAAUCAGUUUAUUUUUUGUUAGUUUCGGGAAACGAGGAAAGUGUUAACAGACUAUUUGGCUGAUUUGUAAAUUCUACUUGUGUUGUGCUUAAUUAUCAUAAGACUAAAUCUUUGAAUAUAAGCUCGAUAUCAUGCCAUAUACAGCAAUCAUUUAUAUCCAACAAGUAAUAAUUGCUAUUUUGUGUAUAUUGCACACAUUUACCUUUUGUUAAUUUUCAAAACAACAAUCUACAAUAGCAAAUAAAAUGUCCUUUUUAUGGGACAGUGCAGCCAUGACUAGCAUAUUCAAAAGUUAAUCCACUGGAGCAUGAACAGCAGCUGCAGACUUUAUUUUAAAUAAAUAACACUUAAUGCUUCUUAAAUGUACAAAAAGGAGUAGUCCACAUUCCUUUAAAAAAAAGUAUGUUGCUAAUCUUGGGUCAGUCCUUGGUAUGAAAAAAAAAAUACUUGAAAACGGACACUUUUCUAAAUUUAAACAAACCAAAGUUUUAUUGACCGUAAUCAUCGAUCAAGGUAAUCCUGCACAGAUUUGACAGAGUUGAAGUUUGCAGAUUUUGAGGUAGAAUCUAUCGAGGGCAAUAAAGAUCCAAAAAAACAGUAAAAUAGUGAAUGACAGAAAUCCAGUGUGCAACCUUUGAGUCCCAGAUCCAUAGAGCUUAUUUCUAACGUACUGCUUAUUGCUGUCGACAUGCAUAGAAGGGAUGUUUAUAUAUGUAUCAAUCAAUCUUUUCUAGGCCAAAGCUGAUUGUCAGUUGUGUUUAAUUUCUGACCUGCCAAUCAGGUUAUUUUCUCCCAAUUACAUUUUAAAAGUAAAAAAAAAAAAAAAAAGUGCUAAAGGUUUCAGUUU